This 281-nucleotide ribosomal RNA is filed under the name uncultured Staphylococcus sp. Its description in RNAcentral is "partial 16S ribosomal RNA". It matches the Rfam family "Bacterial small subunit ribosomal RNA", at positions 81 to 355 of the family's 1533-position model. The record is from RNAcentral. Lineage: Bacteria; Bacillati; Bacillota; Bacilli; Caryophanales; Staphylococcaceae.
CUCCUUUGACGUUAGCGGCGGACGGGUGAGUAACACGUGGGUAACCUACCUAUAAGACUGGGAUAACUUCGGGAAACCGGAGCUAAUACCGGAUAAUAUUUCGAACCGCAUGGUUCGACAGUGAAAGGUGGUUUUGCUAUCACUUAUAGAUGGACCCGCGCCGUAUUAGCUAGUUGGUAAGGUAACGGCUUACCAAGGCGACGAUACGUAGCCGACCUGAGAGGGUGAUCGGCCACACUGGAACUGAGACACGGUCCAGACUCCUACGGGAGGCAGCAGCC